AUUCCAUAUGAAAAAAAUUUUAAAAAUUUUAAUUUUUGCUCCUUGAAAGGCGUUCUUGUUCAUAAUUUUUGAUUUAUUUUAUUCUAAUAAAUUAAUUUGAAUGUCGAAUAUGAUAUUCAUUGCAGAUAUUUGAUCACACUAUUUAUCUACUAAAUACUAUAUAUUUUUUUAACAAAUCAAAAAAAUAUCCCAAAUAAUAUGCUCAUGCAUUCUAACAGGAUCCAAAUAUAU
Molecule: long non-coding RNA, 231 nt
Filed under: Ananas comosus (pineapple)
Lineage: Eukaryota; Viridiplantae; Streptophyta; Magnoliopsida; Poales; Bromeliaceae
Description: long non-coding RNA (ACOM_LNC011344)
Source: RNAcentral